Molecule: ribosomal RNA, 1244 nt
Filed under: metagenome
Description: bacterial LSU rRNA
Rfam family: Bacterial large subunit ribosomal RNA
Source: RNAcentral
UGAAUACGAGGCACUAAGGUGCUGAAGUAGUGUAUGUCAUACUUCCAAGAAAAGCUUGCACUAUCGUAAGAUAAAAAUGCCUGUACCAUAACCGACACAGGUGGGUAGGUAGAGUAUACUAAGGGGCGCGAGAUAACUCUCUCUAAGGAACUCGGCAAAAUAACUCCGUAACUUCGGGAGAAGGAGUGCCUUAUUCUAUAAGGUUGCAAUAACAAGAUCCAAGCAACUGUUUAUCAAAAACACAGGUCUCCGCUAAGUCGUAAGACGAUGUAUGGGGGCUGACGCCUGCCCAGUGCCAGAAGGUUAAAGAAGUCGGUUAGCAAUUGCGAAGCUGGUAACUGAAGCCCUGGUGAACGGCGGCCGUAACGAUAACGGUCCUAAGGUAGCGAAAUUCCUUGUCGGGUAAGUUCCGACCCGCACGAAAGGCGUAAUGAUUUGGAUACUGUCUCGGAGAGGGACUCGGUGAAAUAGACUUGUCUGUGAAGAUGCGGACUACCUGCACCAGGACAGAAAGACCCUAUGAAGCUUUACUGUAACUUGAAAUUGAAAUUGGACUUUAUUCGCGCAGUAUAGGUGGGAGGCGUUGAUUAUAAUCUUGUGGGAUUAUUGGAGCCAUUAGUGAGAUACCACUCUUGUAAUGUUAGAUUUCUAACUUUGAAUCAUGAUCUGGUCAAAGAACAGUUUCAGGCGGGCAGUUUGACUGGGGCGGUCGCCUCCUAAAUGGUAACGGAGGCGUACAAAGGUUUCCUCUGAACGGGUAGAAAUCGUAUCUAGAGUGUAAAGGCAUAAGGAAGCUUGACUGUGAGACCUACAAGUCGAGCAGGGACGAAAGUCGGUCUUAGUGAUCUGACGGUACUGAGUGGAAAGGCCGUCACUCAACGGAUAAAAGUUACUCUAGGAUAACAGGCUGAUCUCCCCCAAGAGUUCACAUCGACGGGGAGGUUUGGCACCUCGAUGUCGGCUCAUCGCAUCCUGGGGCGGUAGUACGUCCCAAGGGUUGGGCUGUUCGCCCAUGAAAGCGGUACGCGAGCUGGGUUCAGAACGUCGUGAGACAGUUCGGUCCAUAUCCGGUGUAGGCGUUAGAAUAUUGAGAGGAGCCUUCUUUAGUACGAGAGGACCGAGAAGGACAUACCUCUGGUGUACCAGUUAUCGUGCCAACGGUAAACGCUGGGUAGCUAUGUAUGGAGUGGAUAACCGCUGAAAGCAUCUAAGUGGGAAGCCCACCUCAAGGUAAGUAUUCUCAC